RNAcentral lists this ribosomal RNA (221 nucleotides) under uncultured bacterium. RNAcentral's name for it is "partial 16S ribosomal RNA". It matches the Rfam family "Bacterial small subunit ribosomal RNA", at positions 110 to 334 of the family's 1533-position model. The record is from RNAcentral.
GUAAUGUCUGGGAAACUGCCCGAUGGAGGGGGAUAACUACUGGAAACGGUAGCUAAUACCGCAUAACGUCGCAAGACCAAAGAGGGGGACCUUAGGGCCUCUUGCCAUCGGAUGUGCCCAGAUGGGAUUAGCUAGUAGGUGGGGUAAUGGCUCACCUAGGCGACGAUCCCUAGCUGGUCUGAGAGGAUGACCAGCCACACUGGAACUGAGACACGGUCCAG